CCCUCAGUUUCCUAUCUGCUAUCUCCACGGCACAUGCCCUGUAGAUAACCUCUCCUAACAAUGUCUCCCCCCCCAGCGGUAGAUACAAGCAACAAUGAAUCAAGUCUAUCAGGUGAUACACAAAUUUUGGAAGCAAGAACAUGUGAAACAAAAGAAUGUGAUGCACCAGUGUCAAACAAAACAUGAGCAAUGUGGCCAGAUAUAGUAUACAUACCAUGUACCAUGUCCGGGUCUACGUCGGCAUCCUUCUGGGUAAGGUUGUAAACUCUGCCCUGGAUUAGAGGCCUUCUUUGAUUCUGGUUCCUCGGGCAUUCCCUUACAUAGUGCUGGGCACUGCCGCAUAUGCGACAGGUGUUGUUGAGGCGGUAGCAGGGUCUGUCCCCGUGAUCCCUGCCGCAGUGCUGGCAGAUCUUUCCACGUGCUGCCCCCGUAGCCUGAGGAGGGGCCUGGAUGGCGGGUCUGGGCUUCUUACUGGGUUGGACAAGCGCGGUAGGUGCUGGCCUGCGGAGCGGGGCUGAGGGUCGGGAACUCCCCGCUAGCUGAGGGUGGGUGUCAAAGCUCCUUUCUCUGAUCUACGCCUUUGCUAGGGCUGCUGAAUAUGUCUUGAGCUCCAUUACCAGUAAGUGC
This 627-nucleotide long non-coding RNA is filed under the name Carica papaya (papaya). Its description in RNAcentral is "long non-coding RNA (CPAP_LNC007047)". Lineage: Eukaryota; Viridiplantae; Streptophyta; Magnoliopsida; Brassicales; Caricaceae. The record is from RNAcentral.